UGGGGCAGCGUCGUGGGCGGCGUCACUGAGCCGCGCCAGCUGUGCCGGGUGGAGCUCAGCCCCUCUCUGCAGCCGUCUCGGAGCUUCCUACCUCACCCGCGGCCGUCGACCUGGCUUCCAUGUGCCCGGUGGGCGCAUGGAACCUCCACGCCCAUGGCCACUAGCCUGAGGAGUUCUUCCUACUCCUCGCCUUCCUGCUCGCCCGACACUGACGACGAGGGCGUGCGCGGUACUUGCGAAGAUGCUUCAAUCUGCGAGAGAUCUGUCUUGGGUAGAUUCAGGAGACCCGUGUUCCUGCGCUUUAACCUUCUUUGAUAUCAGUCCCCCAGCACUGCUGUGUCAGCUGCCAGUCGCUAAACAUUCAUUCCACAAUGCACAUUACUGAAAAGGCUCAGAAGAGGAGAAAGGAAGGUUCUUGCUGGCAACAUUAGCCCUCACUGGUACUCUGUCCACCUGCCUCUCAGCAUUAUUUCUAGAAUUUUCCUACAAAUAGCAGAAAAGUGUGCCUGUCCAGACUCUAUUGGACAGGGAUGAACUCUGGAAAUCGGAUAAAGAUACACCCAAGAUAACAGGGUGGGGUACCCAAAAAAAUUAAACGAUAAAACUAAGCAAAAAUUUGACAGAAAUGAAACAGUAAAAAGCAAAUUUAGAAAACUCAAGAGGAAGUAAAAGUAUUUUCAUACACACAGAAAAUGAAGUGUGCCACAUGCUCAGUCAACCAAACUCUUCCUUUUACUUAACUGUUUAAAAAGCAAGAACUGUGGGGGAAAAAAAUCACACUUCCAUGAAGUCAUGCUGGAAUAAACAGUAAAUCGGUACCGCACAGCUCACCACCCUGAAGACCUUGACCUGUCUGCUCCAGAUAAUACACCGCAUGACAAUCACCUGGAGCAGCUCGCAAACCCGCAAAUCACUCCCCUCCCAACAGCCUGGUCCUCUCCAAACUCUGGCCUAUUCUGUCAUUUCAUGAAGUUUUCUGUCCAGCGUUAAAACGGCACCAAAGAAACAGCGUAGUCUGUUUUCCCAAAUCAAAAGUGAGCAAGGCUUUUCUUAAAACAAGCUGUUUUUCUUUCUUCGCCACAAGGCGUCUCCAUAAUCCUUUCCUCCCAAUUCCAAAUUUCUAAAUGUCAGGAACUUGCAGCAGUCCAGGGACAGUCCUGCUUUUGAGAGCACCACCUCCACCUUCCCUCGCGGCGUCCGGCCCUCCCGGAGCAGCCCCGGCGGGUGUUCACAGCCCCUCACCGCCACAGCCAGCAGGGACUUGCA
Molecule: long non-coding RNA, 1266 nt
Organism: Talpa occidentalis (Iberian mole)
Lineage: Eukaryota; Metazoa; Chordata; Mammalia; Eulipotyphla; Talpidae
Exons: 3
Source: RefSeq, a predicted model, not a curated record